This 81-nucleotide transfer RNA is filed under the name Coniophora puteana RWD-64-598 SS2. It matches the Rfam family "tRNA". Rfam says of the family: Transfer RNA (tRNA) molecules are approximately 80 nucleotides in length. The record is from Rfam by way of RNAcentral. Lineage: Eukaryota; Fungi; Basidiomycota; Agaricomycetes; Boletales; Coniophoraceae.
GGACCCGUGGCGCAGUGGUAGCGCGUGUGAUUCCAGCCUGGGAAUUCCACAAGGUCAUCCGUUCAAUCCGGGUCGGGUUCA